This is a long non-coding RNA of Helicoverpa zea (corn earworm), 1047 nucleotides long. RefSeq lists it as uncharacterized. The transcript has 2 exons. The record is from RefSeq and is a predicted model, not a curated record. Lineage: Eukaryota; Metazoa; Arthropoda; Insecta; Lepidoptera; Noctuidae.
UGGUCGCAUCAUGAUCAAUUUUCGAUUGUAUUCGCUGUGUUAGCUGGUGAGAUUGUUUGGAGUUUUUCGUUUGUUAAAAGGAUUCAGUAGAUACCUGUCUAUAUUGUUUCCUUUGUCUAGAUCACAUAAUGCAAUAUUAACGAGACUACCAGUUUAUGGAUUUCUUCAUUGGAAACUACGAAGCACUAUUAUUCGGCCGAACAAGUAGUGUCAGCUUAACGCAAUUUCAGCGCUAAAGUAGCAAGCAGGGACUGGAGCUAAAAUGGAUAGACUGAGCUUAGUACUGUACCUUGCGAGAGGCAAUUCUUUCCAAGAUUGUUAACGCGAGCGAAUGGAUUCGCUUCCUAGUUUUACAUAUAUUAUGAAGACGUUUUUUUUUUGUUUGUUUGUCUCUGCAACUGCUGAACCGAUUUGUAAAAUUCUUUCACUGUUGAGAAAGUAUAUUAUCCUCGAAUAACAGGCUAUAUUUUAUCGGGCAGUACAGUAGUUCCCGCGGGACGCGAGUGAAACCGCGGGAAAACAGCUAUUCUGGAAUAUGCAUAGAAAAAGUCCACUAUGUCUUUGCAUAAAUUGCCUAAUUAAAAUAACAGCAGUUAGCAGUUGAAACCAAAAAACUCAUGUGUGUAGAGAAGACACAUCUAUAUAGCAAUUAUAAUGUAAUAUGAUGGAUGACUUUGGAAAAGAAUAGGUACUCAAUUUAGUUUAAUCCUCCUCCUCCGAGCCUUUUCCCAACUAUGUUGGAGUCGGCUUCCAGUCUAACCGGAUUUCGCUGAGUACCAGUGCUUUAAAAGAAGCACUGCCUAUCUGACCUCCUCAACCCAGUUCCUCAAUUUAGUUUAAUCUUUUCCUCAAUAUUUAUAAAACUGGUUUUACAAACAAGUAUUAGUACUUCUAUAAAUCUAGUUAUGAAUCAUAGUGUCUUCCUAUUUUGUACUAAAACAUAUCUUAAAUUCAAGCAUACAGCUACUUAAUUUUACAGAAUUUACGAUCAGUUAUUCAAAUUUUAAACCUUUAUCACAUUGAAAUUAAAAAGCUGUUGCUAUUGUU